GACGAACGCUGGCGGCGUGCUUAACACAUGCAAGUCGAACGUGAUUUUUGUGGAAAGCCCUUCGGGGACGGAAAUGAAAUGAAAGUGGCGAACGGGUGAGUAACACGUGAGCAACCUACCUUACACAGGGGGAUAGCCGUUGGAAACGACGAUUAAUACCGCAUGAGACCACAAAGCCACAUGGCUUAGGGGUAAAAGAUUUAUCGGUGUAAGAUGGGCUCGCGUCUGAUUAGCUAGUUGGAAGGGUAAAGGCCUGCCAAGGCAACGAUCAGUAGCCGGUCUGAGAGGAUGAACGGCCACAUUGGAACUGAGACACGGUCCAAACUCCUACGGGAGGCAGCAGUGGGGAAUAUUGCACAAUGGGGGGAACCCUGAUGCAGCGACGCCGCGUGAGCGAAGAAGGUUUUCGAAUCGUAAAGCUCUGUCCUAUGAGAAGAUAAUGACGGUAUCAUAGGAGGAAGCCCCGGCUAAAUACGUGCCAGCAGCCGCGGUAAUACGUAUGGGGCGAGCGUUGUCCGGAAUUAUUGGGCGUAAAGGGUACGUAGGCGGCCUUUUAAGUCAGGUGUGAAAGCGUGAGGCUUAACCUCAUUAAGCACUUGAAACUGGAAGGCUUGAGUGAAGGAGAGGAAAGUGGAAUUCCUAGUGUAGCGGUGAAAUGCGUAGAUAUUAGGAGGAAUACCGGUGGCGAAGGCGACUUUCUGGACUUUUACUGACGCUCAGGUACGAAAGCGUGGGGAGCAAACAGG
Molecule: ribosomal RNA, 746 nt
Filed under: uncultured Parvimonas sp.
Lineage: Bacteria; Bacillati; Bacillota; Tissierellia; Tissierellales; Peptoniphilaceae
Description: bacterial SSU rRNA
Rfam family: Bacterial small subunit ribosomal RNA
Source: RNAcentral